GGCCAACAGCCAGCUAACCAUGAGUCAUCUUGUGUCCAGGCAGCCAGGGACAACAACAUCCUGGCAUGUAUCAGAAAUAGUGUAGCCAGCAGGACUAGGGCAGUGAUCAUCCCCCUGUACUUGGUGCUGACAUCAGAGCACUUGCAUGUCAUUUGGUGGUCCUACAUCUAGCUGUGCCAACCACCAGGUGCUUCAGAAGAAGUUGUUCCAGAUCACACUUUGCUAAAUUCCAUGAGUCAGCAUGGGAGUAUUUGAUGCUUAACAGCACAAUAGGCAAAGAGGGAGGCCAAGAAAAUGACAAGACAGUAAAGUUUUACACUGGAUGCUUUUCAGUUCACACAUUACCUGAUGCAGGACUAAAUGACUUCCCGAAUGAUGAUACCCUUCCUACAUAGAAGGUAGGUCUGUGUGUGAGAAUUAAAGCACGUGCAU
Molecule: long non-coding RNA, 432 nt
Organism: Pezoporus flaviventris
Lineage: Eukaryota; Metazoa; Chordata; Aves; Psittaciformes; Psittacidae
Exons: 4
Source: RefSeq, a predicted model, not a curated record